CCUACGGGUGGCUGCAGUGGGAAUAUUUGGCAAUUGGCGCAAACCUUACCCAACAACGCCGCGUUAAGUAAGAAGGCUUUCGGGUUUUAAACUUCUUUUGUCAGGGAAGAGUAGAAGACGGUACCUGACGAAUAAGCCACGGCUAACUACGUGCCAGCAGCCGCGGUAAUACGCAGGUGGCACGCGUUGUCCGGAUUUACUGGGUGUAAAGGGCGUGUAGCCGGGUUGACAAGUCAGAUGUGAAAUCCUGCGGCGUAACCGCAGAACUGCAUUUGAAACUGUUGAUCUUGAGUGCUGGAGAGGCAGACGGAAUUCCUAGUGUAGCGGUGAAAUGCGUAGAUAUUAGGAGGAACACCAGUGGCGAAGGCGGUCUGCUGGACAGCAACUGACGGUGAGGCGCGAAAGCGUGGGGAGCAAACAGGAUUAGAUACCCUUGUAGUC
Molecule: ribosomal RNA, 441 nt
Filed under: uncultured bacterium
Lineage: Bacteria
Description: partial 16S ribosomal RNA
Rfam family: Bacterial small subunit ribosomal RNA
Source: RNAcentral